AUGGGCCUUCCUCAGAAGAGAGGCUUCCAGCAAGAACAGAGAAAAGGGGAAAAGAAGACAUUGCCCGAAACCUGCUCGUCACUGCAGCCUUCUUGGGAGUUGGCCAGGCCUUGCCCUCUGCUCUGCACUGUGUGGAAACCAAGGGGGAGGAGACGAGGAGAUUGCCAUGAGCUUUGCCUGCCUUCACAGAGCUUUCAGAACAGCUGGGGACGUCAACAGGAACAUAACAAGAAAUGGUCACAGAUGGAGUUUCUGUUGUGGUGCAGUGGUUAAUGAAUCCAUGAGGUAAUGGGUUCGAUCCCUGCCCUUGCUCAGUGGGUUAAGGAUCCGGCGUUGCAGUGAGCUAUGGUGUAGGCUGGUGGCUACGGCUCUGAUUGGACCCCUAGCCUGAGGACCUCCACAUGCUGCAGGAGCGGCCCUAGAAAAGGCAAAAAGGCAAAAAGGCAAAAAAAAGAAAAAAAAAGAAAAGGUCGCAGAGCUGUGAAACAUCACUUUGUGGCUCUGACUGAAAGGACGUGCUCUGAGAGUUCAGCCAAGGGUGAGGUGAUGGUUGGCCUAGGGGAGACGAGACGGUCCGAGGGUGAGAAAGAUCUGGGCACAACGGGCACGGCACCUGAGAAAGGCAGCUAUAAGAGCAGUGAACAGAUUGAACAGCGUCAAAGGAAGGGCAUGGGGUGGCACCAACCGUGAUGAGAUCACUCUUUUGAGGGUGCAGGAUAUUUUCGGGGACUAGUAGGAAGUACACUUGGAUGAUUUAAGUAGAGUGGGGGCCAAGUUAUAGAGGGCUGCUUACCAGCCCAAGUCGUUUAGACAUCAUGCAAUAGGGACGCUGUCCCAGGAUCUUCAGCAGUGAGUGAUAGGCAGUGUUUUUUGAGUAAUUCAACAGUUGGAGGAGGCUGGUGGAGGGGACUAGCAAGACUGGGUAAUACUGAUUGCUGCAAGAAUUCCAUUGUGAGAAAAACAAAGACAAAAACAAAAACUGGAAGACCUGUGUGGUAAUAGAAACAGAUAAAGAAAAAGAGUAAAUCCUAGAAGCAGCUUUCCAUUCCUUUUGUAUGUGUUUAUUUUGAUUUUUAUCAGACUAUAUGAUACAUGCAUAUUAUAAAAUUUGAGAAAUCACAGAAAAGGAAAAAGGAAAGAAUGCAUAAUCUCUCUAAACACAAGUAACCACUGCUUUGACAUGUUUCUUUCCAGUUUCUCAUAUAUUUUUAUGUGGUUGUGAUCUCACUGUCUAAGCAAUUUUGUAGCUCAUCUUAAAGAUAACAUAUGUAAGAACUUUUCUAUGUCAUUAAUAGCUUUAAGCUUUACUAUUGUAGCUGUGUUGCCUUUAUUGAUAUGGAUGCACUGUUAUUUACUAUAGGAUAAUGGAUUUCAAAUUUUUUUCACUUCUUCCCUUGUUAAAACAGUGCUGGGUAGAAGUGAAUCUCCAUGCAUUAAUCCAUCCAUCUUGGUGAUUAUAUCCACAGGAAAAAUUCCUAGAUAUGCCAUUACUGAAUAAAGUUGUGUUUUUUUUUUUUUAAUUUAAAGCU
This 1529-nucleotide long non-coding RNA is filed under the name Sus scrofa (pig). Its description in RNAcentral is "lncRNA (ENSSSCG00070012139.1)". Lineage: Eukaryota; Metazoa; Chordata; Mammalia; Artiodactyla; Suidae. The record is from RNAcentral.